This 490-nucleotide ribosomal RNA is filed under the name uncultured bacterium. RNAcentral's name for it is "partial 16S ribosomal RNA". It matches the Rfam family "Bacterial small subunit ribosomal RNA", at positions 29 to 507 of the family's 1533-position model. The record is from RNAcentral.
AGUGAACGCUGGCGGCAGGCCUAACACAUGCAAGUCGAACGGCAGCACAAGAGAACUUGCUCUCUUGUUGGCGCGUGUCUUACGGUUGAGGAAUGCAUCGGAAUCUGCCCAUUUGUGUUUGAUAACCUCUGGUAACCGCGACUAAUACCUCAUACGACCUACUGGUGAAAUCAGGGGAUCUUCGGACCUUCCGCCGAUGUAUGAGCCGAUGCCGGAUUAGCUAGUUGGAGGGGUAAAGGCCCACCAAGGCGACGAUCCGUAGCUGGUCUGAGAGGAUGAUCAGCAACAGUGGGACUGAGACACGGCCGAGACUCCUAAGGGAGGCAGCAGUGGGGAAUAUUGGACAAUGGGAGCAAGCCUGAUCAAGCAAUGCCGCGUGUGUGAAGAAGGCCUUCGGGUUGUAAAGCACUUUUGUUGGGAAAGAAAAGCAGACGGUUAAUACCCGGUUGUCAUGACGGUACCAAAAGAAUAAGCACCGGCUAACUUCGUG